UUGCCUACGGGGGGCAGCAGUGAGGAAUAUUGGUCAAUGGGCGAGAGCCUGAACCAGCCAAGUCGCGUGAGGGAAGACGGCCCUACGGGUUGUAAACCUCUUUUGUCAGGGAGCAAGAACGGAUACGUGUAUCCAAGCGAGAGUACCUGAAGAAAAAGCAUCGGCUAACUCCGUGCCAGCAGCCGCGGUAAUACGGAGGAUGCGAGCGUUAUCCGGAUUUAUUGGGUUUAAAGGGUGCGUAGGCGGAUUUUUAAGUCAGCGGUAAAAUGUCCGGGCUCAACCCGGGCCGGCCGUUGAAACUGGGG
RNAcentral lists this ribosomal RNA (305 nucleotides) under uncultured bacterium. RNAcentral describes it as "bacterial SSU rRNA". It matches the Rfam family "Bacterial small subunit ribosomal RNA", at positions 335 to 638 of the family's 1533-position model. The record is from RNAcentral.